RNAcentral lists this ribosomal RNA (203 nucleotides) under uncultured bacterium. RNAcentral describes it as "partial 16S ribosomal RNA". It matches the Rfam family "Bacterial small subunit ribosomal RNA", at positions 28 to 225 of the family's 1533-position model. The record is from RNAcentral.
GACGAACGCUGGCGGCGUGCUUAACACAUGCAAGUCGAGCGGUAAGGCCCUUUCGGGGGUACGACGAGCGGCGAACGGGUGAGUAACACGUGGGUGACCUGCCCUCCAGCUCUGGGAGUAAGCCUGGGAAACCGGGGUCCGUAAUAACCGGAUAUGACUCCAUGACGCAUGUUGUGGGGUGGAAAGCCUUGUGCGGCUGAGGA